UGCAUCCGUGCCUCCCUUCCUCGCCCCCCUCCCAUUUCCGCCCCCUCUCUCUUCCCUAAAACGCCGCCCGCCGCGACCUCCCCAGAUCCAAUCCACGCCGCCGCCUCCUCUCCGAUCAACGCCGCCCUGCUCCUCUCGACCCGCUGCCUCUCCUCCCUCCGGCGCGGCGGCUCGUGCAGUUAAGCAUCGGUGACAUCUUCGUCGUUCCCGGGGAUUUGACGCCACGCUGCUCCACCACCUCAUCACCAAGCCUGGGAUGUGCCUCGUCAGCAGCUGCAACGAGCUACACGCGCGCCAGCGGCAUCGGCGCAUGCGCUGCCAAGCUCACCGUUGUGGCCUCAACACCAUCGCUGGCGCCUACAACGAAUCUGCCCGUCAUCUGCAUCGCAUGUGGCCCCAACUACAAUGACUAGGGCACCAACCACAUCCUCCACCACACCUUCGCUGGCGCAGGUCGUUGGAGAAACUCCUCGUCAGUGGGUGGAGGAAAACGAGCUCUUUGACCUCUAACAGGAUACGGCGACUGGGGUUAAACAGGAUCGCACACCCACCAUGCAGGGUUUAAUUUUUCGUAGUCUAUUCUAGCCAGCAAAAGAUGCAGCGUUCUCUUCUCUUCAAAGAAAUGGUUGGUACAUCAUGCUCUGCUCGCUGUUCCAUGUCCAUGCAUGAUGCUUGUGACUCGUAUGUUUGUUUUGAGAUGAAAAUCAUGCUUUGCUUUUCUAAAGUUCAGAGAAAAGCCUUAUAUAGUUAAAAAGUCCAUAAUGUUAAUUUCCCUCCAUAAUUGACGGAAACCUGCUGCAGUCUAUGUAUUAUGAAAACAUCUGAAGUAGAUGAGGUAUUUUUUCUCAGUAGGCAUAUUUAGCUCAGUGUCUUACACACUCCCUGUUGUCCAUGCUGAAUUCAAAGUUCAGUACUUGCGUCCACCUCACUGGCUCAGUUACCUGUUUACACAAUCUCUAGUGUGUUGCCGAAUAAAUACUUGGUAUGUCCAUAAUAGGUGAAGGAUGUUCUCAACCAUGUAGCUAUUCUUUGCAUCCGUGUCUGCUUCCUGACAACUAUUAUUUACUUGUCACAGAUCUGCAUUCUGCAUAUGUGUUUCUUUAUUUUUUGUUACCUAUUUCUGUUACGUCCCCAUGCUAUACAAAACUAACAAGUAGUUCCUCCUUAUGAGGAGCUCUGUGGUUCAGGAAAAACUCCUUCUGAUGAAGUGUUAUUGCUGUUCAUCCUUAUCCAGUGAAAGAAUGUUAAUUUCACUAGCUAACCUGGAGGGAGAAGUGGCGCUCAAGGUCACAGAUUACUUAGGAGACUGCAGGCUGUGCUUAUUGACGUUGAAGUUGGAGUAAUGCUGGGUGACGAUUCCUUCAAGCUUUUUGCAUGGUUCAACCAGCACUGUUACGGGAGUUCUAAGUCGAAGAAAUUUGGAGCCCGAAGCUUCACUAAGCACAUUCGCUGCCACUUGUAAUUAGUCCAGUUAUAUUGUAGUAAGCGUAUCUGGUUCUAUGAGCACUAUGUAAAGACCUAAUAAGCUAAUUUUGCUUAUUAUUUCAAGAAUUUCGUGUUCUAAUUUUCACUACAAUUUUAAGAAUUUUGUAUGCUCU
Long non-coding RNA from Lolium perenne, 1598 nucleotides. RefSeq lists it as uncharacterized. The record is from RefSeq and is a predicted model, not a curated record. Lineage: Eukaryota; Viridiplantae; Streptophyta; Magnoliopsida; Poales; Poaceae.